UUUUUUUUUUUUUUUUUUUUUGUAUCAGCUUAACAUAUCAUUUAGCACAAAUAUGUAUACCCACUUAAAAGGUAUUUUUAAAAAAUAUUCAAUAGAAAAAUAUCUGUACAAUUAGCUACUGUGGUGGAUUGGAUAAUGGACCCCAAAUAAUAUGCCUACUCAGAACCUGUGAACGUGAGUUUAUUUGAAAAUAUAGUCUUUACAGAUACAAUGAAGGUAAGGAUCGCCAGAUGAUAUCAUCCAGGAUUAACCAGAUGCUGUAGAAGAACCUCUUCUGCAAGACCAUUCAUUCAUGCCUUGAGACAGUAUGAAUCAAGCUGACUUUUUUUUUUUCCAAGGAGUUUUUAAACUAUAUAUGUGACACCCCGAUGAAUAAGAAGAGCAGCCAGCUGAGAAGGGGAACUCUACAAAGCUAUUUUUUCAACAGCUGUGACUGACCCACUCACCUCACAGGGAACAGCUAUGCAGAGGAGGAAUGACAAGUAGAAGAGGGGAAAAGGGAAAAUAUAAACAAAAAAAACAGUACAUUUCACACAAAAGCAGAGGAACAGAAAGUGAAAUCUGAGACAGACCAUCAAGCUUCAGACCAUCAUGCAGCAAGGGCUCUAGCCAGUUCCAGGUGAAGACCCCACCCCGGGCCAUCAAGGAGCUUCCCUGCCUCCACUAGACAGAGCAGAGUGAGAGUUCCAUGAUCCCCAAUAGGUAGGGGCUAUGCCUCAAGCCAGCAUGAAGCAGUUACAGAAAAAAAGACCAUCAGUUCCUCUGCCUCCCAUGGGGAUCACAUCUUUCAGCAGGGAGAUGAGGCAUAAAAACAAGGUCUGGAGGCAGGGAAUUCAAGGCCGAUUCACACUUCAGCUAUGACAGGAAAUAUCCUCUCCAUAGGGUAUAGGCCAAGUAAAUGACUUUGUAACUUUACUCCUCAUUUUCAUAGGUUGCACCCCAAGUAAGCAAUGGAAUCCUCUAGAGGGUAUUUCCCCAAAAUUCUGUAAUGGGGUCCUUGAGCCCCUAUGCUCGGGCCCACUCCCACACUGUGGAGUGUACUUUCAUUUUCAAUAAAUCCCUCAUUUCUUCCUUGC
Molecule: long non-coding RNA, 1076 nt
Filed under: Homo sapiens (human)
Lineage: Eukaryota; Metazoa; Chordata; Mammalia; Primates; Hominidae
Description: HSALNT0348319
Source: RNAcentral